Molecule: long non-coding RNA, 2228 nt
Organism: Ostrea edulis (European flat oyster)
Lineage: Eukaryota; Metazoa; Mollusca; Bivalvia; Ostreida; Ostreidae
Exons: 2
Source: RefSeq, a predicted model, not a curated record
AGAGGGUGAGCUCAUCAUGCAUCAUACAUCCUAACCUUGGCGGAGAUUCGGCUCGCUCGGCUGGAAAUAGUAAUUGCCCAUACCCACUGUAUAUCAUUCAUAAAGAAAAACAAACCAUAGGAACCCUUCAAUAUCACGAGAUAAUCUAUUCCUUCAUGGAAGUCCUCAUUUGAACGGAAAAUUUAGUGACUGUUUUUAAUUUGGGAUUUUCAUACCUAUAGGCAUUAAUGAUGGAGAUAACAGUCAAAUUUAAGUUAUUUGAAGCAAACAGCAGUGUCGCUUAAGUGCACAUUAAUUGCUAGAACCAACCGGAGCUGAAUGUAAAUUUCCAGGUACAUGUAUGAAUUGUGAAGGACUGCUCCGAGAUUCGGUGGCCCUUUUCCAAAUUUCCAGCCCAGCUGAAUCGCCCGCUAUAUUGUCCAAAUAUAGAUCAAUCUUGUUUGAAAUGUCACAUGUGUUUCUCCAGUGUUCGAAAUUAGUUUAAAACUUGGUAUAGACAACAGGGCUAUGCCAAAACAAGAUGACAGACCUCAUAAAAUUGACAUUGACCGCAACAUUGAAAAAAAUAGCACAAAUUUAAAACAUUGUUAUUUAUUUCUAAUGUGCUUAGAAAACAUAUUUUCUUUCCAUUCCCAUAACAAUGUCCUUCUUUCCUCGUAACGUUUAUCAGAUGUCGACUUUUAGAAUAACUCUAUUGCUUUAAACCUAGAAAAUCUGCAUAGACAAUUUGGUCUAUCCCAAUUACAAUUGGCAUAGACCAGUGUCAUUUGACAUAGAUUCGGUCUAUGGUUAAUUUCGAACACUGUUUCCCUAGCUUAAAAUACUCAUGAACUAUUGAGAUAUUUGCCUCCUAUUACAUAUUAAUAAAAAACACUUUAUUUUGUUCUCACUAGGUAGUGACGAUUGAACUAAGGAAAAUUUAAAAUGCUGAAAUUAAAAGGAAGAAAAAAGAAAUUCAAGCCGAAAACAAGAAGAAAUAAAGAAGCAAUAAUAGACUCAAACCAGCAAUCUUUGCAAAUGCAAGAAUGUAGAACCCAGCAGUAAUUACGUGCCCGAGUCCUGCAGUUCGAAUGUUCCAGUACUCGUCGGCAACACUUCUGGACCUAGCAGUAUGCUUAAGACUACUACAUCAAUCAGCAACACACCUGUACCAGUCAGCAACUUGAAAGAACCCUGCUAUACUCGUGUGUCUGUGCCAUACAAUAACUCAGUUGUACUUAAUGGUCAAGAUGUGUUAACCUCUGUCAGCAACACCUCAGUACCUUGCAGUUAAAAUAAGCCUGUGCCAGUAAGCAACUCGAAAGAACCCUACUGUCAUACUCGUGUGCUUGUGCCAAAUAACAAAAUUUCGAAUGUAAUUCUUUGAGAUUUAUUUUUAAUCAACUGCUCUAAUAAUGAUGACUGUGCUAUUCAAAAUCUCAACGCUCUUAGCCUAUGGUCUUUUCUCAAAGAUUCAGUGUUUGAUGAUUUGUGGAUUCAAAGGAGAGUAUAUAUAUACAUUAUUUGCUGUGGUUCGGAAUUACCAUAGUGCUUAACAGUAAUCUUAUUACAGUUUAUUUCUAGUCAUCAUGAUCUAUUGUUUUAAAAUAUUAAUUAAGCUCUGAUUUUAAUUGUAUAAUUUCAUUUUGAUUAUGUUUAUAACCUAAAUUCAAAUCUUUGUCAGAAAUCAAUCUGUUAUGUUAAUGAAUAUUUUGCGUUUUACAUAUCUAUACGCAUGGGGGGGAAAUGGAUGCGCAUCGAUGGGCUGAUAUAAUUUUUUAUCUUUCUAUUUCAAGUUGGUAUAAUUGUCAAUUUUGUGAAAUAUUACAUGGUAACUGUUGUAAGUUUCAUAUAAUGUCCAAAAAUUGUUACAGAUAUAGCACCCCCUUGUAAUUAACCUUUUACAAAUUUACUCUAUGGGACAUAAACUGACAAAUCAUUGGAAAAAAUUCAACUCUACUCCAUGAAAUGUAUUUGAAUUUUAAUAUCCCAUGUAUAAUGUGUCUAUUUUUUAUCAUUUUAAAAAUUUGUUUGCAUCCUUAGGAUCAUUAUGAAUUUGUGUUAAUUACUUAUUGAACUACAUAUUACAUAUAUUAUUAGAAAUAUUUAAAACUACUAUACAUCUGUACAAUCUCCUUUGUUAGUUAUAUGAUUAUUAUUAAUGUACUUGUCAACUGAUGAAAAAUUUAAUCUGUUACACAGGCAUAAUUAUGUAUUGUUAAAUACAGUUCCAAUUUUCAAAUACCUGU